RNAcentral lists this ribosomal RNA (110 nucleotides) under uncultured eukaryote. RNAcentral describes it as "partial small subunit ribosomal RNA". The record is from RNAcentral.
UCGCACCUACCGAUUGAAUGAUUCGGUGAAGAUCUCGGACUGUGGCACGGCACCUUUAUUGGCGUUGCGUCGUGGGAAGUUAUCUAAACCUCAUCAUUUAGAGGAAGUAA